CACGUUCUCGUACGAUCACCGAAAUUAAGCAAUGUCGAGCCUGGUCAGUACCUCGAUGGGUGAUCCCUUGGGAAUACCAGGUGCUGUAA
Non-coding RNA from Acanthosepion pharaonis, 89 nucleotides. The record is from the annotation of a GenBank genome assembly. NCBI's taxonomy places the organism in Eukaryota, Metazoa, Mollusca, Cephalopoda, Sepiida, Sepiidae.